GGCUUUGCUGACAUUGUUGGGAGAAGAUUCGGCUCACUGAAGCUGCCAUUCAACAACAAGAAGAGCUGGGUCAGGAGUGCCGCGAUGUUCAUCUCUGGGUUCCUGCUAUCCACUCUGAUGUUGUUAUACUGCCCAUGGCUUGGUUACAUCAAUGUCAGCUGGGAUCAGGCGUUUGUGCCCGUUGGUAAACUGGCUCUUGUUACACUGGCAGCAACUGCGGUGGAGUGUAUUCCUGUAACUGAUGUUCUAGAUGACAGUAUAUAUGUUCCUUUGGCCACCAUGUUGGUAGCAUUUCUGUUGUUUGGCCACACUGCA
RNAcentral lists this ribosomal RNA (315 nucleotides) under Triticum aestivum (bread wheat). Its description in RNAcentral is "partial small subunit ribosomal RNA". The record is from RNAcentral. Lineage: Eukaryota; Viridiplantae; Streptophyta; Magnoliopsida; Poales; Poaceae.